AACCAAUGAAUGCACACAUAAUUUCUGUAUGCUGCUGGAACUGGCGUCCCCUGGGGCAGAAUAUGGUUUGCCUGGAUGUGAUUUCUGUUUGUUACUUUUUCAAAAAAGUUCACACUUUUUCUCUCUCCUGAGAUUUCUACCUGGCAUCAGUGCACGGAACAUCUUCCUCCAGACUUGGAACUUGAACUCAUCUGAAAUGAUGGGGAGCUGGAUGUCCAUGCGAGCGAUUGGUGGGGACUCUCCAAGGAUCUUUUGCAAUCUACAGCCAGGGAGAGAAGUUCAUGUUUUGAAGGUUUUCAGGAGUGGAGGGAGCAUUCCUUAUAGAACUAGUGGACUCAUUCACCAAAUACUGAUCCUUAUGUUAGCCAAAACAGCACCAACUAUGCACGAGAGGAAGGUAUCAGCAGGCUCAGGAGAACUUCCAAGGUUUGUGACGUGGAAAUGGACUGCCUUCCAGUCGAUCCCGACUUCUGACUACCCUGUGAAUAGGGUGUUCAUGGUUUCAACAUAAUAAGGAAAGCCGAGUAAAACACAUAUGAUGCAAAUGAAGCCCUGGGAGGUUAUGGAUAAAACUGAAUGAAUGAUGUCAAAUUAUUGCUAAAGGCCUGAAUGUAUUUACAUCAAGAUUAAAGCUGUGGUUUUGUUGUUGCUGUUGUAAGGAUCGGCAUGGUGAAAGAAAACUGAUUUAAUACAAAGCUU
Molecule: long non-coding RNA, 699 nt
Organism: Rhineura floridana
Lineage: Eukaryota; Metazoa; Chordata; Lepidosauria; Squamata; Rhineuridae
Exons: 3
Source: RefSeq, a predicted model, not a curated record